CGGGUGAGUAAUGCUUAGGAAUCUGCCUAUUAGUGGGGGACAACAUUCCGAAAGGAAUGCUAAUACCGCAUACGUCCUACGGGAGAAAGCAGGGGAUCUUCGGACCUUGCGCUAAUAGAUGAGCCUAAGUCGGAUUAGCUAGUUGGUGGGGUAAAGGCCUACCAAGGCGACGAUCUGUAGCGGGUCUGAGAGGAUGAUCCGCCACACUGGGACUGAGACACGGCCCAGACUCCUACGGGAGGCAGCAGUGGGGAAUAUUGGACAAUGGGGGGAACCCUGAUCCAGCCAUGCCGCGUGUGUGAAGAAGGCCUUAUGGUUGUAAAGCACUUUAAGCGAGGAGGAGGCUACUGAGACUAAUACUCUUGGAUAGUGGACGUUACUCGCAGAAUAAGCACCGGCUAACUCUGUGCCAGCAGCCGCGGUAAUACAGAGGGUGCGGGCGUUAAUCGGAUUUACUGGGCGUAAAGCGUGCGUAGGCGGCUUUUUAAGUCGGAUGUGAAAUCCCCGAGCUUAACUUGGGAAUUGCAUUCGAUACUGGGAAGCUAGAGUAUGGGAGAGGAUGGUAGAAUUCCAGGUGUAGCGGUGAAAUGCGUAGAGAUCUGGAGGAAUACCGAUGGCGAAGGCAGCCAUCUGGCCUAAUACUGACGCUGAGGUACGAAAGCAUGGGGAGCAAACAGGAUUAGAUACCCUGGUAGUCCAUGCCGUAAACGAUGUCUACUAGCCGUUGGGGCCUUUGAGGCUUUAGUGGCG
This 750-nucleotide ribosomal RNA is filed under the name uncultured bacterium. RNAcentral describes it as "bacterial SSU rRNA". It matches the Rfam family "Bacterial small subunit ribosomal RNA", at positions 103 to 848 of the family's 1533-position model. The record is from RNAcentral.